UACAGAGGGGGCAAGCGUUGUUCGGAAUUACUGGGCGUAAAGGGCGCGUAGGCGGCCUGCUAAGUCGAACGUGAAAUCCCCGGGCUCAACCCGGGAACUGCGUCCGAUACUGGCAGUCUUGAAUCCGGGAGAGGGAUGUGGAAUUCCAGGUGUAGCGGUGAAAUGCGUAGAUAUCUGGAGGAACACCGGUGGCGAAGGCGGCAUCCUGGACCGGCAUUGACGCUGAGGCGCGAAAGCCAGGGGAGCAAACGGG
RNAcentral lists this ribosomal RNA (253 nucleotides) under uncultured bacterium. RNAcentral describes it as "partial 16S ribosomal RNA". It matches the Rfam family "Bacterial small subunit ribosomal RNA", at positions 524 to 776 of the family's 1533-position model. The record is from RNAcentral.